RNAcentral lists this small RNA (108 nucleotides) under Erwinia billingiae. Its description in RNAcentral is "t44 RNA". It matches the Rfam family "t44 RNA". Rfam says of the family: This family consists of a number of bacterial RNA genes of between 135 and 170 bases in length. The t44 gene is found between the map and rpsB genes in all species in the full alignment apart from Shigella flexneri. Lineage: Bacteria; Pseudomonadati; Pseudomonadota; Gammaproteobacteria; Enterobacterales; Erwiniaceae. The record is from Rfam by way of RNAcentral.
CUCAUUAUGUGUAAAUAACACACAUGUAUCGACACAUACUCCGGGGUGCCUGAACGCCUGCGUAAGCAGUCUGCCGGGUCGGUUGUAUGGGAUACAUGGAGGCUUAAC